Molecule: ribosomal RNA, 433 nt
Filed under: uncultured bacterium
Lineage: Bacteria
Description: partial 16S ribosomal RNA
Rfam family: Bacterial small subunit ribosomal RNA
Source: RNAcentral
AACGAACGCUGGCGGCAUGCCUAACACAUGCAAGUCGAACGAGACCUUCGUGUCUAGUGGCGCACGGGUGCGUAACGCGUGGGAACCUGCCCUUAGGUUCGGAAUAACUCCCCGAAAGGGGUGCUAAUACCGGAUAAUUUCUUCGGACCAAAGAUUGAUCGCCUUUGGAUGGGCCCGCGUUGGAUUAGCUAGUUGGUAGGGUAAAAGCCUACCAAGGCGACGAUCCAUAGCUGGUCUGAGAGGAUGAUCAGCCACACUGGGACUGAGACACGGCCCAGACUCCUACGGGAGGCAGCAGUGGGGAAUAUUGGACAAUGGGCGAAAGCCUGAUCCAGCAAUGCCGCGUGAGUGAUGAAGGCCUUAGGGUUGUAAAGCUCUUUUACCCGGGAUGAUAAUGACAGUACCGGGAGAAUAAGCACCGGCUAACUCCGUG